Molecule: ribosomal RNA, 755 nt
Filed under: uncultured bacterium
Lineage: Bacteria
Description: bacterial SSU rRNA
Rfam family: Bacterial small subunit ribosomal RNA
Source: RNAcentral
AGAGUUUGAUCCUGGCUCAGAACGAGCGCUGGCGGCAUGCUUAACACAUGCAAGUCGAACGAGGGCAUGGCUUCGGCCAUGUUCCUAGUGGCAAACGGGUGAGUAACGCGUGGGAAUCUACCUAGUUGUGGGGAAUAACUGCGGGAAACUGCAGCUAAUACCGCAUAAUCCCUCCGGGGGAAAGGCUUCGGUCGCAACUAGAGGAGCCCGCGUGAGAUUAGGUAGUUGGUAGGGUAAAGGCCUACCAAGCCUGUGAUCUCUAGCUGGUCUGAGAGGAUGAUCAGCCACACUGGGACUUAGACACGGCCCAGACUCCUACGGGAGGCAGCAGUGGGGAAUAUUGGACAAUGGAGGAAACUCUGAUCCAGCAAUGCCGCGUGAGUGAAGAAGGCUUUCGGGUUGUAAAACUCUUUCAGUAGGGAAGAUAAUGACGGUACCUACAGAAGAAGCCCCGGCAAACUUCGUGCCAGCAGCCGCGGUAAGACGAAGGGGGCUAGCGUUGUUCGGAAUUACUGGGCGUAAAGGGUGCGUAGGCGGCCAUUCAAGUUAGACGUGAAAGCCCAGGGCUUAACCCUGGAAUUGCGUUUAAUACUGUUUGGCUAGAGUUCGAUAGAGGGAAGUAGAAUUCCUAGUGUAGAGGUGAAAUUCGUAGAUAUUAGGAAGAAUACCAGAGGCGAAGGCGGCUUCCUGGAUCGAUACUGACGCUGAGGCACGAAAGCGUGGGGAGCAAACAGGAUUAGAUACCCUAGUAGUCC